RNAcentral lists this ribosomal RNA (253 nucleotides) under uncultured bacterium. Its description in RNAcentral is "partial 16S ribosomal RNA". It matches the Rfam family "Bacterial small subunit ribosomal RNA", at positions 524 to 776 of the family's 1533-position model. The record is from RNAcentral.
UACGUAGGGUGCAAGCGUUGUCCGGAAUUAUUGGGCGUAAAGAGCUCGUAGGCGGUCUGUCGCGUCUGCUGUGAAAACUCAGGGCUUAACCCUGAGCUUGCAGUGGGUACGGGCAGACUAGAGUGCGGUAGGGGAGACUGGAAUUCCCGGUGUAGCGGUGAAAUGCGCAGAUAUCAGGAGGAACACCGGUGGCGAAGGCGGGUCUCUGGGCCGUAACUGACGCUGAGGAGCGAAAGCAUGGGGAGCGAACAGG